This is a long non-coding RNA of Bacillus rossius redtenbacheri, 418 nucleotides long. RefSeq lists it as uncharacterized. NCBI's taxonomy places the organism in Eukaryota, Metazoa, Arthropoda, Insecta, Phasmatodea, Bacillidae. The record is from RefSeq and is a predicted model, not a curated record. The transcript has 4 exons.
GACAUGAAGAACUACUACAGUCUCAUCGUCUCCAGCAACUUGAACAGCAUCAGCUGCCUGAAGGAGGAACUGGCCGUUGCGCGGAGACACGAGAAGCUGACGAGGAAGCAGCUGAGAAGCGCGACGGCUCAGCACCGAGAACUGGCCGAGCCUUUGGAGAGGCUCAGGGCCGAGGCUGAGGCGACCAAGAAGGAACUGGCGUGUCGCGAAGAGGAGAGGGCGUCGCUUCUGGAUAGUACUGCUCGUCUAGUUAAAUGUGAGAAGGAAAUUGAAAAUCUCAAACAUGAAAACGAUGUUCUCCAUCUACAGCUGGAAGAGUUGCAGGAUCAGCGCGACGGGCUGCGCCAGGGGCUGCUUCUGGCGACCCUGGAGGCGGGGCAGCGCUCGGGCCUCGGGGCCACGCUGCUGCGCUGCAAGA